GACGAACGCUGGCGGCGUGCCUAAUACAUGCAAGUAGAACGCACAGUUUAUACCGUAGCUUGCUACACCAUAGACUGUGAGUUGCGAACGGGUGAGUAACGCGUAGGUAACCUGCCUGGUAGCGGGGGACAACUAUUGGAAACGAUAGCUAAUACCGCAUAAUAUUGAUUAUUGCAUGAUAAUUGAUUGAAAGAUGCUAUUGCAUCACUACCAGAUGGACCUGCGUUGUAUUAGCUAGUAGGUGAGGUAACGGCUCACCUAGGCGACGAUACAUAGCCGACCUGAGAGGGUGAUCGGCCACACUGGGACUGAGACACGGCCCAGACUCCUACGGGAGGCAGCAGUAGGGAAUCUUCGGCAAUGGACGAAAGUCUGACCGAGCAACGCCGCGUGAGUGAAGAAGGUUUUCGGAUCGUAAAGCUCUGUUGUAAGAGAAGAACGGGUGUGAGAGUGGAAAGUUCACACUGUGACGGUAUCUUACCAGAAAGGGACGGCUAACUACGUG
Molecule: ribosomal RNA, 505 nt
Filed under: uncultured bacterium
Lineage: Bacteria
Description: partial 16S ribosomal RNA
Rfam family: Bacterial small subunit ribosomal RNA
Source: RNAcentral